ACUACCUUGGACCUGAAAGCGAUCAAAUGUUUUAUUAUUAAAGCACAAUAUGGUGGUUACCUGAUGAUUCUUGAAGGACAAAUCCAGGAGUCUGAAACAAGUACCAACAUAACUGGGAAUUUUCAGCAUACUUGGCCGUGGCUGCUACAAGCCAGAGUGCCAACAUCUUUACAGAUAGGUGUGUUUUUUCAAGGAAGAAACGCUACUCAAGAAAGACAUAUGCACAUUGCAGCUGGAGAAACAUCAGUGACAUACAUAAUGAACUCUUAUUAUGUUGGUCAUCAAAUGGAUAUUUUUUGCCAAAGUGUACAUAACAGCAAGACUUUACAAGCAUCUGGCUACCCUAAGGCAAUCAAUCUGAUUCUGAGUUUACAGAAAUUAGAAAACAAAGCCAAGACUAUCUGCAAAGUCCAAUAUGAUGACAAAGAUAUAACUGUGAAUAUGGAUGUCGAUGCAGACUUUGAACUGUAUGGUACAUUUGAAUUCAUGGCAGAGAUGAAGCAUUCAAUACCACUUCUCAGUCAUCUGGGACUUCCCUUCUUCCUUAAGAUGGCAAUUCAUGAAGUCCUGACUGAAAAUGAAAUUGCAGGAGCUCUGCAGCUCAUAUGUGAACAAAACACAAGCUUUUCCUUAACCAUCAAUAGGAAAAAUGACCAGCAAGGUGCAGAGCUGACUAUAAAAGCCUUCCAGAACCUUCCCUCCUUUCUACAGUACUUCCCUAGCGCAGCAGGACUUUCUUCCAUGUUAAAAAGUCUUCCAAGGCAGCUUAUGUUCAUGACAGUUUACCAAAAAAGUAAUGGAACAUGUAUGCUGCGACACAUUGCUCUCUGGGAUGGCAGAGAGGUAAAAGUAACAGGCGCUUACACUGGAUUCUUCCCAAAGUUGCAUGGAGGUCAUAAAGUUAAGGUGGAGCUUUUCCAUCCUCUCUCCAUUCCUUUCCCCGGGCAUACCAAGCUCGACAUGUAUGUAGAACAUUCGGCACAAAGUCACUGGGAUGAUCUUACUCUUGUUUGGAAUGACAAGGACCAGGUAUCAGCAACGUCAUCACUGAAGUUUGGAAGAGAGCGCAUGAGCUACAGAGCUGCUGUUGCCCACCCGUUUAAUUUCACUCUGAGGCAGCUUGAGGUCAAUUCCCUGUCAGAAAGAAGAGGCAGAAAGUACAGCCAGCAGAUGCAGCUCAUGUGGAAUGGUGGGCAGCCUGCUGAUGUUAGAGUGACCUUGGAAGAUAAAUCAGAGAUGAAUAUCACUGCCUGGGAUGCUUGUAUGACACUCUCUUCAGGUCAGCUUCAGAGAGUAUUAAGAAUGGGACACUUUAAUGCAUGUGGGUCUCUAGAGCAAACAGCACUGUUGUUUAAUGAAUAUCUAGAUCUGAACUGGGAUGACAAAAAAUUCAAACACAGUUUGACUUAUGAGAGAAAUAGAUUCUUGUAUCCUGAUAAAUUUCAGUUAGAAGCCACUUUGGAAAACAUUUUCCUGACCUCCUGCACCAAACAGAAUGUUCUGGGUAAAAUAGAAACAAACUACUCAUCCUGGCUGUACUAUUAUAUUAAUUUUGGAUUCUGCGACCUCCCAACUGUAAUUGCUUUCUCUGGAAAACAUCAACUCAACAAAGGAGAUACUAUUUUGCAGUCAGAAAGCAGAUUACACCUUGCUGGUCGUGAAAGAGAUGAUGGGUUGAUUGAACUAUCAUUAAAAAAUAAGAGCACAGCUGAUAUGAAGAACUAUUAUGUGGAGAUUGAAUUAAAAGCCUUUGAAGAUAUUUGGCUAGGCCUGACAGGAACUACUUCUUCCUCAGCUGUUCAGAGCCAAAUCCUGGUGGAGGGGAUUAUUGAUCAGAAAGAGAAAGUGAAGGUAGCUGCUUCUAAAGGAAAUGAAUGUCUUCAGUACUACGUGGGGUAUUUGAAAGGGGAUCUGGAGGAAGGAAUGGAGGUCAGUGCUUGUACCGAUGGGCAACAGAUGGCUACUGUUAAUACCUAUCUCAACAUUAAUGGUGAAAGGCAAGAAAAAAUGGGACAACUGACCCUAACAGCUGUUAAUGAAAGCUUGAGUUUCCUGGCUCAAGGAUGUGGGGAUGCAGUUCUUAAGGCUGAGUACAAACUUAAUGAAAUUGGGAGCCUUGUAAAAGCCAAACUGAUAGAAAAGAUGAAGAAGUUUGAUGGAUAUAUUUGGAGAUUCAGAAAAUCAAUGCAGCGAGUUGAUUUCCUGUCUGAAGCAGCUGACUGGCCUUCAAUAGCCUUGCAAGAAGCAGCAGGCUUCCUCCACAGUGUGGGUAGAGCUGUCACCCAGGUGUGGAAGCAGAGUGGAAUCAGGCAGAUACUGAGAAGCAAGCUCCCACUUUACCUGGAUAAAAUUCAAGACAUUGUCCAGCAAAUGCAGAAUGAAUUGCAAAAGCCAUUAGCAACUUUGAAGGACGCCUAUUACGAUGUAACCUUGAAGCCAUUGGAUGAGGUUUGGCAUGAGAAAACAGAAGAGUACAUGAAGAAAGUCCAGGCUUUUGUGCCCAGGAUUGUAAAAGAUGUUUGGCUACUGGAACCAAUCCAGGUGGCAAUACGGGUUGUGAAAACAGGCCUGGAUAUGACCACACAUCAGAUGCUGAGGUGGGCAGAAGCCAUGUUGUCUAGAGCUGUGCGCAAGAUCCGGAAGCCCUUGCUCAACCUCUACAGUUUUUCAGCUAGGGACUGUUCAGUGGCAGUGAAACUGCCAGUACUUCCUAAAGCAGACAGCUCCCUGGACCUGGCAAAUAUUACUACCUAUCUCAUUGGAGAAAAGCUUAUGAGACCUCUCAAAGACCUGUACAACAUCAACGUAGUUGCAGAGUAUUAUAGAUUCAAACGGAGGAUGAUGGAGAGUCCCUUUGAACAUCAUGCUAUGUUAAUGGGGAACAAGCAUCUCAUGACUUUUGAUGGAAAAAUUUAUGAUUUGGCAUCAAAGUGCAAUGUGCUUCUUGCCAAGGAUUUUGUUCACAAUACUUUCACUGUAAUACUAAACCAGGAAAUCAAUGACUCAAGCUCACUGUAUGUGGAGAUGAACCAGACUGUGAUCAAUAUCUACCCAAGACUGAAGAUAUCCAAGAUGUAUAAUUCCUCCUUUAUGGAACAGAACUGCCAAGGAAUGGAUCGAUCUUUUGAAAAGAAUACCACUGAUUCAAGGAAAGAAACCAACAAAAUAGAAAUAUAUGAUCAGAACGGCGUUUCCAUCUCUUGUGACUUUCAGUAUGAUCUCUGUACUGUCACUCUGGCUGGAUGGCACCAUGGUAUUUCAGCUGGGCUUUUUGGUACCAAUGAUAAUGAAGCAGGGAAUGAAUGGAUACUGCCUAAUCAUUCCUCCACGGACAACGUGCAAGAAUUCACACAGAGUUGGCAGGUGAACAAGUGCACGCCCAUGCAGAAGAAAGUGAAGCCAUGUCCCACUACAGCUAAGCAAAAAGUCUGUGAAGUGCUUUUUGAAGAAGCUCACUCGUUUCUGAGGAACUGCUUCAAAGUUGUGGACCCUGAACCAUUCUACAGCAUGUGUAUGGUUGACACCUGUGACUCAAACGAGUUGAAAAGUGCUUGCAGCUUAGCAGCAGCAUUUGUUCACUUGUGCAACCGAAAUUUUGUCCCUGUGGAAAUUCCUCCUCAAUGCUUGAGCUUGUUCUGA
RNAcentral lists this long non-coding RNA (3639 nucleotides) under Struthio camelus australis. Its description in RNAcentral is "lncRNA (ENSSCUG00000016087.1)". The record is from RNAcentral. Lineage: Eukaryota; Metazoa; Chordata; Aves; Struthioniformes; Struthionidae.